GUGAGGAAUAUUGGUCAAUGGGCGGGAGCCUGAACCAGCCAAGUCGCGUGAAGGAAGAAGGAUCUAUGGUUCGUAAACUUCUUUUGCAGGGGAAUAAAGUGCAGGACGUGUCCUGUUUUGUAUGUACCCUGAGAAUAAGGAUCGGCUAACUCCGUGCCAGCAGCCGCGGUAAUACGGAGGAUCCGAGCGUUAUCCGGAUUUAUUGGGUUUAAAGGGUGCGUAGGUGGUUUGAUAAGUCAGCGGUGAAAGUUUGCAGCUUAACUGUAAAAAUGCCGUUGAAACUGUCGGACUUGAGUGUAAAUGAGGUAGGCGGAAUGCGUGGUGUAGCGGUGAAAUGCAUAGAUAUCACGCAGAACUCCGAUUGCGAAGGCAGCUUUCCGGGGUACAUCUGACGCUGAAGCUCGAAAGUGCGGGAAUCAAACAGGAUUAGAAACCCCAGUAGUCC
RNAcentral lists this ribosomal RNA (445 nucleotides) under uncultured bacterium. RNAcentral's name for it is "partial 16S ribosomal RNA". It matches the Rfam family "Bacterial small subunit ribosomal RNA", at positions 354 to 796 of the family's 1533-position model. The record is from RNAcentral.